Molecule: ribosomal RNA, 384 nt
Filed under: uncultured bacterium
Lineage: Bacteria
Description: bacterial SSU rRNA
Rfam family: Bacterial small subunit ribosomal RNA
Source: RNAcentral
AUUGAACGCUGGCGGCAUGCCUUACACAUGCAAGUCGAACGGCAGCGGACCUUCGGGUGCCGGCGAGUGGCGAACGGGUGAGUAAUAUAUCGGAACGUACCUUUCAGUGGGGGAUAACGUAGCGAAAGUUACGCUAAUACCGCAUAUUCUGUGAGCAGGAAAGCAGGGGAUCGCAAGACCUUGCGCUGAUUGAGCGGCCGAUAUCAGAUUAGCUAGUUGGUGAGGUAAAGGCUCACCAAGGCGACGAUCUGUAGCGGGUCUGAGAGGAUGAUCCGCCACACUGGAACUGAGACACAGUCCAGACUCCUACGGGAGGCAGCAGUGGGGAAUUUUGGACAAUGGGCGCAAGCCUGAUCCAGCCAUGCCGCGUGAGUGAAGAAGGCC